RNAcentral lists this ribosomal RNA (465 nucleotides) under uncultured bacterium. RNAcentral describes it as "partial 16S ribosomal RNA". It matches the Rfam family "Bacterial small subunit ribosomal RNA", at positions 28 to 506 of the family's 1533-position model. The record is from RNAcentral.
GAUGAACGCUGGCGGCGUGCUUAACACAUGCAAGUCGAACGGAAAGGCUCCUGCUUGCAGGGGUACUCGAGUGGCGAACGGGUGAGUAACACGUGGGUGAUCUGCCCUGCACUUCGGGAUAAGCUUGGGAAACUGGGUCUAAUACCGGAUAGGACCGCAUUUUGGAUGGUGUGGUGGAAAGUUUUUUCGGUGUGGGAUGAGCUCGCGGCCUAUCAGCUUGUUGGUGGGGUAAUGGCCUACCAAGGCGUCGACGGGUAGCCGGCCUGAGAGGGUGUACGGCCACAGGGGGGGAGAAAUGCGCACAGGCCUCAAAGGGGGGGCAAGGGUGGGGAUGAGGGGACAUGGGGCGAAAGCCUAAUGCAGCUCCACCGGGUGGGGGAGGAGGACUUUGGGGUUGAAAACACGUUUAGCUAGAAAGAAGGAGUAAUGGAGGUCCCUGGGGGGGGAGCCAGCGCCGACCUCAGU